RNAcentral lists this ribosomal RNA (450 nucleotides) under uncultured bacterium. Its description in RNAcentral is "bacterial SSU rRNA". It matches the Rfam family "Bacterial small subunit ribosomal RNA", at positions 28 to 507 of the family's 1533-position model. The record is from RNAcentral.
GAUGAACGCUGGCGGCGUGUCUAAGGCAUGCAAGUCGAACGCGCACCUUCGGGUGCGAGUGGCAGACGGGAGAGUAACACAUUGGUAACCUACCCCGAAGUUUGGGACAACUGACCGAAAGGUGAGCUAAUCCCGAAUGUGGUGGUCAGGCUUCGGCCUGAUCAGUAAAGGUUUUCGCUUCGGGAGGGGCCUAUGGUCCAUCAGCUUGUUGGUGUGGUAAAAGCGCACCAAGGCGACGACGGAUAGCGGGUGUGAGAGCAUGGCCCGCCUCACUGGGACUGAGACACUGCCCAGACUCCUACGGGAGGCUGCAGUCGAGAAUCUUCCCCAAUGGCCGAAAGGCUGAGGGAGCGACGCCGCGUGUAGGAAGAAGCCCUUCGGGGUGUAAACUACUUUUCUCAGGGAAAAACUCUGAUGGUACCUGAGGAAUAAGGGGCUGCUAACUUCGUG